This 70-nucleotide transfer RNA is filed under the name Excalfactoria chinensis (blue-breasted quail). RNAcentral describes it as "Coturnix chinensis tRNA-Pro". It matches the Rfam family "tRNA". From Rfam's summary of the family: Transfer RNA (tRNA) molecules are approximately 80 nucleotides in length. The record is from RNAcentral. Lineage: Eukaryota; Metazoa; Chordata; Aves; Galliformes; Phasianidae.
CAGAAGGUAGUUUAUUUAAAAAUCCCAGCUUUGGGAGCUGGGGAUGGGGGUUCGAGUCCCCCCUUUCUGA